GUGCAUUAUGUGUGUAUGCAUGUGCAUGUGCACAUAUUAACACAUGCAAUACGUAAAAUAUUACAAAUACAACGAAGG
This 78-nucleotide microRNA precursor is filed under the name Dipodomys ordii (Ord's kangaroo rat). Its description in RNAcentral is "miRNA (ENSDORG00000026530.1)". The record is from RNAcentral. Lineage: Eukaryota; Metazoa; Chordata; Mammalia; Rodentia; Heteromyidae.